UACAGGAUUCCCCUAGUACGGCGAGUGAAGCGGGAAGAGCUCAAAUUUGAAAUCUGGCAGUCUUCGAUUGUCCGAGUUGUAAUCUAUAGAGGCGUUUUCCGUGCCGGACCGUGUCCAAGUCUCCUGGAAAGGAGUAUCAAAGAGGGUGAUAAUCCCGUACUUAACACGACCACCGGUGCUCUGUGAUACGUCUUCUACGAGUCGAGUUGUUUGGGAAUGCAGCUCAAAAUGGGUGGUGAAUUCCAUCUAAAGCUAAAUAUUGGCGAGAGACCGAUAGCGAACAAGUACCGUGAGGGAAAGAUGAAAAGCACUUUGGAAAGAGAGUUAAACAGUACGUGAAAUUGUUGAAAGGGAAACGAUUGAAGUCAGUCGUGUUCUUUGGAUUCAGCCAGUUCUGCUGGUCUACUUCCUUUGAACGGGUCAACAUCAGUUUUGUCCGGUGGAUAAAGGCAGUAGGAAUGUAGCUUCUCCGGAAGUGUUAUAGCCUAUUGUCACAUACACUGGGUGAGACUGAGGACUGCAGCUCGCCUUUAUGGCCGACCUUCGGGUACGUUCGAGCUUAGGAUGUUGACAUAAUGGCUUUAAACGACCCGUCUGGAAACACGGACCA
RNAcentral lists this ribosomal RNA (610 nucleotides) under Trichosporon coremiiforme. Its description in RNAcentral is "eukaryotic LSU rRNA". It matches the Rfam family "Eukaryotic large subunit ribosomal RNA", at positions 68 to 668 of the family's 3401-position model. Lineage: Eukaryota; Fungi; Basidiomycota; Tremellomycetes; Trichosporonales; Trichosporonaceae. The record is from RNAcentral.